AAGGAAGAUUAAUACAAGAUGGCAUCAUGAGUCCGCAUGUUCACAUGAUUAAAGGUAUUCCGGUAGACGAUGGGGAUGCGUUCCAUUAGAUAGUAGGCGGGGUAACGGCCCACCUAGUCUUCGAUGGAUAGGGGUUCUGAGAGGAAGGUCCCCCACAUUGGAACUGAGACACGGUCCAAACUCCUACGGGAGGCAGCAGUGAGGAAUAUUGGUCAAUGGGCGAGAGCCUGAACCAGCCAAGUAGCGUGAAGGAUGACUGCCCUAUGGGUUGUAAACUUCUUUUAUAAAGGAAUAAAGUCGGGUAUGGAUACCCGUUUGCAUGUACUUUAUGAAUAAGGAUCGGCUAACUCCGUGCCAGCAGCCGCGGUAAUACGGAGGAUCCGAGCGUUAUCCGGAUUUAUUGGGUUUAAAGGGAGCGUAGAUGGAUGUUUAAGUCAGUUGUGAAAGUUUGCGGCUCAACCGUAAAAUUGCAGUUGAUACUGGAUAUCUUGAGUGCAGUUGAGGCAGGCGGAAUUCGUGGUGUAGCGGUGAAAUGCUUAGACAUCACGAAGAACUCCGAUUGCGAAGGCAGCCUGCUAAGCUGCAACUGACAUUGAGGUCUCGAAAGUGUGGGUAUCAAACAGGAUUAGAUACCCUGGUAGUCCACACGGUAAACGAUGACAUACUCGCUGUUUGCGAUAUACUGCAAGCGGCCAAGCGAAAGCGUUAAGUAUUCCACCUGGGGAGUAC
This 729-nucleotide ribosomal RNA is filed under the name uncultured bacterium. RNAcentral describes it as "bacterial SSU rRNA". It matches the Rfam family "Bacterial small subunit ribosomal RNA", at positions 155 to 883 of the family's 1533-position model. The record is from RNAcentral.